CUAACACAUGCAAGUCGAACGGUAACAGGAAGCAGCUUGCUGCUUCGCUGACGAGUGGCGGACGGGUGAGUAAUGUCUGGGAAACUGCCUGAUGGAGGGGGAUAACUACUGGAAACGGUGGCUAAUACCGCAUAACGUCGCAAGACCAAAGAGGGGGACCUUCGGGCCUCUUGCCAUCAGAUGUGCCCAGAUGGGAUUAGCUAGUUGGUGAGGUAACGGCUCACCAAGGCGACGAUCCCUAGCUGGUCUGAGAGGAUGACCAGCCACACUGGAACUGAGACACGGUCCAGACUCCUACGGGAGGCAGCAGUGGGGAAUAUUGCACAAUGGGCGCAAGCCUGAUGCAGCCAUGCCGCGUGUAUGAAGAAGGCCUUCGGGUUGUAAAGUACUUUCAGCGGGGAGG
This 403-nucleotide ribosomal RNA is filed under the name Salmonella enterica. RNAcentral's name for it is "bacterial SSU rRNA". It matches the Rfam family "Bacterial small subunit ribosomal RNA", at positions 48 to 447 of the family's 1533-position model. Lineage: Bacteria; Pseudomonadati; Pseudomonadota; Gammaproteobacteria; Enterobacterales; Enterobacteriaceae. The record is from RNAcentral. RNAcentral also lists the same sequence under 1 other name.